Molecule: small RNA, 426 nt
Filed under: Pongo abelii (Sumatran orangutan)
Lineage: Eukaryota; Metazoa; Chordata; Mammalia; Primates; Hominidae
Description: processed transcript
Source: RNAcentral
UGGUUCAGCGUGGGGGCCGUUGGCUCCAGACAAAUAAACAUGGAGUCCAUCUUCCACGAGAAACAAGAAGGCUCACUUUGUGCUCAACAUUGCCUGAAUAACUUAUUGCAAGGAGAAUAUUUUAGCCCUGUGGAAUUAUCCUCAAUUGCACAUCAGCUGGAUGAGGAGGAGAGGAUGAGAAUGGCAGAAGGAGGAGUUACUAGUGAAGAUUAUCGCACGUUUUUACAGCAGCCUUCUGGAAAUAUGGAUGACAGUGGUUUUUUCUCUAUUCAGGUUAUAAGCAAUGCCUUGAAAGUUUGGGGUUUAGAACUAAUCCUGUUCAACAGUCCAGAGUAUCAGAGGCUCAGGAUCGAUCCUAUACUUUCCUAUUUCACCUUUGUGAUGUCCAUGAGCAUCUGCCCUGUAGCCUUCCUGGCACCCCAGUGU